GGGCGAGUCGUCUAGCCUGGUCUUGGACAUCGCUCUCACACAGCGAAGGCCGAGGGUUCGAAUCCCUCCUCGCCCA
This 76-nucleotide transfer RNA is filed under the name uncultured marine thaumarchaeote KM3_31_E07. Its description in RNAcentral is "tRNA-Val". It matches the Rfam family "tRNA". Rfam says of the family: Transfer RNA (tRNA) molecules are approximately 80 nucleotides in length. Their secondary structure includes four short double-helical elements and three loops (D, anti-codon, and T loops). RNAcentral also lists the same sequence under 1 other name. The record is from RNAcentral. Lineage: Archaea; Thermoproteati; Nitrososphaerota.